CGCUCGAAGGUCACGGAGGAGAGGUUGGGUGAGGACGACACGUGUUACAUCAUUAUCAAUCAAUUAUGGCGUUGUGCUGCUGUUGGUUGUUGUCCUUAAAUACUACACCACCAAGACUACAAUUUAUGCUGCCCGAGCUGCAUCACCAAAGAGCCCUAACCCACCCCCAGCAACGUCAACCUGCAGAAGGAAAGGCCAGUUUGUAUGUCGUUCACUUUCGAAGGUCACGGAGAUCAUUACGUAAAACUGUCAAUGCGGUGGUGUAGAGGUUGGGUGAGAACGGGAAGUGUUUGCUUCAUUAUCAAGCAGGUAAAAUAGCCGCAAGGCUUAAGAGAGGGGUCAGGGUGAGAAAAAGUAGUAUAAAAGGAGAGAGAAAAGGCCAUAAAAAUCAGUUGAGUGAGCAUCUCUGACACGGAACCGCAUCAACUGCUGUACACUAUUUGUCACCAACUGCAUUCUCCAACGUAAUACCAGUUCGCAACCAACUGUUAACUAUGGCGUCGUGCUGCUGUUGGUUGUUGUAUCCUUGAUGGUUGGGUCGACCACUGGUGUACCGAUGUUUCGUGGGUAUGGUUGAUACCAAACCGCAACGCCGCCGUUUUACUACACAACAACAACGUGCGCAACAACCGGAUACUACACUACCAAGCCCACUCAGUAUUACACCACAACCUAUGAUGUCCCGAACUACUACACCGAAGCCUCAAAGUAUAAUUCUGCCUCGAGUUACACCACCAAGGCAGCGGAGUACUACACCACCAAGGCAGCGGAGUACUACACCACCAAGGCAGCGGAGUACUACACCACCAAGGCAGUGGAGUACUACACCACCAUGUAUGCUGCCCUUGCCUUUUAGAUCGAGGCUCCCAAACACUACUCUGUUCCCAGCUACAACACCGAGGUUCCAGCUUAUUACACCACCAAAUCGGUUAAAUAUUACACAGAAACGCCCAAGUACUAGUAUUUUGUCCACUUUGCGUCAGUUGUCUAUUGGUGUUGGAUUUCUUCAAGACCGGUAUGCUGGAUUGUGAAUUAUUUGUUUAUGUUUUAGAGGUGACUACUGCCUUAUUCAUACGGACAUAUUCUUGUGGUUCGACGAUGAUAUUUCAAGGAGUAGUUACGAAAGACAUAUGUAAGUGUAGAUUUUAUCAAAUCUUAUAAAGUAAUGGGGAAGUGGCUGACCUUUGUAAUAAUGAAAGACUUUGAAGUUGAGAAAAAUAUAUUGAUACAAUUCAUAAA
This 1239-nucleotide long non-coding RNA is filed under the name Daphnia pulex (common water flea). RNAcentral's name for it is "uncharacterized LOC124205274, transcript variant X2". The record is from RNAcentral. Lineage: Eukaryota; Metazoa; Arthropoda; Branchiopoda; Diplostraca; Daphniidae.